RNAcentral lists this small RNA (130 nucleotides) under Serratia marcescens. RNAcentral describes it as "RtT sRNA". It matches the Rfam family "RtT RNA". Rfam says of the family: This family represents a bacterial cis-regulatory element known as RtT RNA. The exact function of RtT is unknown although it is thought that it may be involved in changing the cellular response in relation to amino acid starvation. Lineage: Bacteria; Pseudomonadati; Pseudomonadota; Gammaproteobacteria; Enterobacterales; Yersiniaceae. The record is from RNAcentral.
UUUCGCCUGUCGUUUAUGAGGAUGAGCACCUCCGCAGGAGGUUCGAGCCUCGCGAAGCGAGACAACGUUGCUUUGGCAACGGCCCGCAGGGCAAGCAUCGAAGAUGCGCAUAAUCCUCUCAUGCCGACCA